RNAcentral lists this ribosomal RNA (168 nucleotides) under uncultured Clostridium sp. RNAcentral describes it as "partial 16S ribosomal RNA". It matches the Rfam family "Bacterial small subunit ribosomal RNA", at positions 338 to 524 of the family's 1533-position model. Lineage: Bacteria; Bacillati; Bacillota; Clostridia; Eubacteriales; Clostridiaceae. The record is from RNAcentral.
CCUACGGGAGGCAGCAGUGGGAAUAUUGCACAAUGGGGGGAACCCUGAUGCAGCAACGCCGCGUGAGUGAUGAAGGUUUUCGGAUCGUAAAGCUCUGUCUUUGGGGAAGAUAAUGACGGUACCCAAGGAGGAAGCCACGGCUAACUACGUGCCAGCAGCCGCGGUAAU